GAUGAACGCUGGCGGCGUGCUUAACACAUGCAAGUCGAACGAAGCACUUUAUUUGAUUUCCUUCGGGACUGAUUAUUUUGUGACUGAGUGGCGGACGGGUGAGUAACGCGUGGGUAACCUGCCUUGUACAGGGGGAUAACAGUUGGAAACGGCUGCUAAUACCGCAUAAGCGCACAGCAUCGCAUGAUGCAGUGUGAAAAACUCCGGUGGUAUAAGAUGGACCCGCGUUGGAUUAGCUAGUUGGUGAGGUAACGGCCCACCAAGGCGACGAUCCAUAGCCGACCUGAGAGGGUGACCGGCCACAUUGGGACUGAGGCACGGCCCAAACUCCUACGGGAGGCAGCAGUGGGGAAUAUUGCACAAUGGGCGAAAGCCUGAUGCAGCGACGCCGCGUGAGCGAAGAAGUAUUUCGGUAUGUAAAGCUCUAUCAGCAGGGAAGAUAAUGACGGUACCUGACUAAGAAGCACCGGCUAAAUACGUG
Molecule: ribosomal RNA, 481 nt
Filed under: uncultured bacterium
Lineage: Bacteria
Description: partial 16S ribosomal RNA
Rfam family: Bacterial small subunit ribosomal RNA
Source: RNAcentral